Small nucleolar RNA from Acomys russatus (golden spiny mouse), 131 nucleotides. RefSeq annotates it as small nucleolar RNA SNORA17. NCBI's taxonomy places the organism in Eukaryota, Metazoa, Chordata, Mammalia, Rodentia, Muridae. The record is from RefSeq and is a predicted model, not a curated record. The transcript has a single exon.
CCUGGCCCUAGAUUCAUUGCAGGUGUGGCUGCUGUGUCACAUGUGCGUCGCUAGGUGGCGGAGAAGAGAGAGGCUAUGUAUAAGCUCCAUGCUUUGACCUGUGAGCAUGUGAAGGUUAGUAGCCUAACAGU